UACGUAGGCCCCGAGCGUUAUCCGGAUUUAUUGGGCGUAAAGGGUGCGUAGGUGGUUUAUUGCAUCCUUGGUUAAAGCUUCAAGCUCAACUUGGAGAAUGCCAAGGAGAUGAAUAAUCUAGAAAGUAUCAGAGGUGGCUGGAACUGCCAGUGUAGGGGUGAUAUCCGUUGAUAUUGGCAGGAACGCCAGAGGUGAAAACGAGCCACUGGGAUAUCUUGGACACUGAGGCACGAAAGUGUGGGGAGCAAAAAGGAUUAGAUACCCUUGUAGUCCACACCCUAAACGAUGCCGACUAGCUGUUUCGAGUAUCGACCCUCGGAGUGGCGAAGCUAACGCGUUAAGUCGGCCGCCUGGGAAGUACGGCCGCAAGGCUAAA
This 376-nucleotide ribosomal RNA is filed under the name uncultured bacterium. RNAcentral's name for it is "bacterial SSU rRNA". It matches the Rfam family "Bacterial small subunit ribosomal RNA", at positions 524 to 898 of the family's 1533-position model. The record is from RNAcentral.